GAAUGCAAAGCAUGGCUCAUGCAAGAAGCGUGACAGUGUGACAACUAACUACAACAUUUGGAUUACUGGUGUCUGGACCGAACGCUUUAAUGGUUGAUCACUUGUCAAAUUACAUGCUUGUGGAACUGGAAAGAUGAUGCGCAGAUCUAGGAUCAGCGUGCGACCCAACAUCGCGAGGCCCGGGGGCAGGAGUCUUCCUGGCUCCCAGGAAGGUCAGCAUGGUCAGGGAGCAACAGCUGUGGACACCACCCAUGCGGCUGGGACAGAGGGAAAGGGGCCAGACAGCGGAGCAGUCAUAGAUCCCGGUCAGCCCGUGGAACAGUCUGCUGAGACUGCAGCAGGGCUAAACACCUCCCAGGAUACAUCGCCAGAAAAAAUAAUUCCCCCUGAUUUGGGUGAAGAAGAUCAGAAUGGGGGGACCCCUAAUGACAGACCCCUCAUGUCCACAACGCCUCAGAGGAGGAAACGUUUCUCAGCCAUGCCUAACCUGUCCAAACCCAGGGCGACCCCUGCACCGAGGACACCCAAAUCCCCCCUCCCUGCAGCCCCAAGUCAGCCCCCCCCU
Molecule: long non-coding RNA, 565 nt
Organism: Anguilla anguilla (European eel)
Lineage: Eukaryota; Metazoa; Chordata; Actinopteri; Anguilliformes; Anguillidae
Exons: 3
Source: RefSeq, a predicted model, not a curated record